CAUUUUUCAUUUUCUUGUUGGUGUCUUUUGGAAUUAUGUAGAUCCGCAAUGAGUAGAUCAAUGUCUAUUCUGGAAUUAGCAUGGAAGGUGUAAUCGGUUACAAUAAAUUAUAUAAAAAUAAUAAUAUCUUUUCAAAUUUCUUCAUGGGAACUGCAGUAAGAAAUUAUAAAACCUUGUUAUCAAUUUUGUUGCUUCAUUCUCUCUUAUUUCAUGAUAUACGAGAAGGUAUUGGAGUUUGUUUUUUAAAAGUUUUGAAGCCCAAAUUUUUUGUAAGAUUCCAUAGUCAUUUAACGAUUUAAUUAAAUUUGUUGUAGAUUUUUCAUUUCUUCUUCUUCUUUUCUUUCUUUCAGUGGGACCAGAUUUUUGUAAUUGCAGACUAUCUUCCUUCGAUAUCUGUAACUAUAUUUUUCUCUUUUGUUAGAUUUUUGUAACUUUCCCUAAUACUUUGUUAAAACACAAUUACACAGUAGCAUUCGAGAUUUAUGUAACUCUUUUCUUUUUUUUCCCCAUUUCUUUG
Molecule: long non-coding RNA, 517 nt
Filed under: Capsella rubella
Lineage: Eukaryota; Viridiplantae; Streptophyta; Magnoliopsida; Brassicales; Brassicaceae
Description: long non-coding RNA (CRUB_LNC000841)
Source: RNAcentral